GUGAUCGAGAGAGCAACUAUGAGACUAUGACAGCGACAGUGAUGGAGACAGAGAGACAGCUGAGAUUAAAAAAAUAAUAGAGGUUUUGCGUUUGUUUUGGCUAAAUCCCAAAAUAAUUGGUUCUGUUUUUUUGGGGAGGCUCUAUCGAUAUCGAGUUCUGCUGUUGUGUCGAGAUCGAGUUCCGGUGUUUCGUACGAUCAACUCUUGCCAUCGACAUCAACAUUGAGAGAGAGAGAGAGAGAGAGGGAGAGAAUCCAAUUCCGAUCGUCUUCUUCAGCUUAUAAGGUGAUUGUUUUGAGCGACAAGUUUCGUUUCCUGUUGUGACUAAACGUUGACAACUGCUUUGCUUAUUUUGACCCUGCAACACUCAGAUCAAACUGCGUAAUUGUGCAGCUGACUCUAGAUCUGGAAUUGCAAGCAGCCCCAUUGCCUCAAUAUCAAUCCAUGACUCUAGCAGCCACAGCCGCAGCUCAGAUGAAUCAAAGCAGGUAGCCGCAUACUCAGCAGCAGAUCAAAGCCACACACAAUCGUAACUCCUUAGGCAAGAAAUCAAAACAAAAAAGUGAAAAACCAGAUGCUGAUCAAUUAGCAAUAUAGUUCAACCCAAAAUAGCUAUGGCACUUUGGCUUAUGCAUAUCUGGUAGCCAUUUGUAGUUGUUUUUGGUUGUAGCACACAAUCUUGAUACCAAGGCUACCAGGAAUAAAGUGAAACAGCCUCAAAGCGAAACAAAACCAAAUAACUCCCGGUCACAACCUACAUUAGCUGUAGAAGAAUCAUCUCGAAGGACCUGAUGUAGCUAUUUUUGUUGACACUCAACCAAUUUUGUAUAGCGAAACAGCUUUGCUUAGGAAAUCAAUUUUGUAACCAACUUGGUAUUUCCACUUUUGUAAUAUAACUAUACAAUAUUCCGGAAACUAUGAAUCUAUAAAUUUGACUAAGAAAAAAAACCCGCAGCAUCGCGCGGGGUUCCAUUUC
Molecule: long non-coding RNA, 976 nt
Organism: Rosa chinensis
Lineage: Eukaryota; Viridiplantae; Streptophyta; Magnoliopsida; Rosales; Rosaceae
Exons: 5
Source: RefSeq, a predicted model, not a curated record